UGGGUCGAUGAUGAAGGGCCCCAGCCAAAGA
This 31-nucleotide non-coding RNA is filed under the name Homo sapiens (human). The record is from RNAcentral. Lineage: Eukaryota; Metazoa; Chordata; Mammalia; Primates; Hominidae.